GGGAGGCUUUGUAUUUUUAUCGAGUUCAGAUUUUGUUUAUUAGUUUCAUUUUCCACUUCCUCCCUCCGCUUCGGGCAGCAUCCUGGUCCAACGCUAUUUCUGCCUUCCCAGAUGCAGCAAGGACUGGGGCAAAGGCGAAGGGUUUUGCAGACCUCUGUUAGAUGCUUUAUCAUCGGACCCAUCAGAAAUACAUAAAAAAGAAAAAGGAAAGAUUGUAUUACACCUCCACACUGUUUCCCUUAUUUAUCUGUGCAGAAAUUUAGUAACCUCAUUUUUAUUAUGUAGACAUGGGGCUCUUCCAAUGCAGAGUGAGUGCCAUCAUUAUUCAGAGGAUUGAUAAUCGAUUUUGAGGACAAAGCCCAGAGCAGAUCGCAAUUCUUCUCAUAUGGCGUCGUAACUCCCUCAGGCAUUCCCCAAACGUGUUUUUACCCCGAGACUAAAACCAGCCUCCAAGAGAUAGCCGGUUCACUCGUCUCCAGAACGGCCCUCACCCCCGUUUUGAAAGCAGGCACGUCUCCCCAUCCCUUAUCUCCGGGUAUCUCCCUCGUUCUCAAGAUCCCGCUAAGGUUUUCUCCGAGAGUCUCACAAACUCAUUUCCAAGACCCUUUAGAUCAUCUGAGUCAGACAGCUCAUACUGUCUUGCGGAAAGCAGGUGUUCUCAUAUUAUUUUCUGAUGAUUUGGGAUUUCAGCACCCACAAGUUUUCUCUGUCCUUUCUGUUUGAACGCCAUUUGCAUAUAAAGGAAGUGAAAAAUAAAGUAUAAACUGAGUCA
Neofelis nebulosa (Clouded leopard) is the source of this 772-nucleotide long non-coding RNA. RefSeq lists it as uncharacterized. The record is from RefSeq and is a predicted model, not a curated record. Lineage: Eukaryota; Metazoa; Chordata; Mammalia; Carnivora; Felidae. The transcript is spliced from 2 exons.